GCCAUCUUAGCUCAGUUGGAAGAGCGCGUGACUUGUAAUCUCGAGGUCGUCGGUUCGAACCCGACAGAUGGCU
RNAcentral lists this transfer RNA (73 nucleotides) under Spirochaetales bacterium. Its description in RNAcentral is "tRNA-Thr". It matches the Rfam family "tRNA". From Rfam's summary of the family: Transfer RNA (tRNA) molecules are approximately 80 nucleotides in length. Their secondary structure includes four short double-helical elements and three loops (D, anti-codon, and T loops). The record is from RNAcentral. Lineage: Bacteria; Pseudomonadati; Spirochaetota; Spirochaetia; Spirochaetales.